This 496-nucleotide ribosomal RNA is filed under the name uncultured bacterium. RNAcentral describes it as "partial 16S ribosomal RNA". It matches the Rfam family "Bacterial small subunit ribosomal RNA", at positions 28 to 523 of the family's 1533-position model. The record is from RNAcentral.
GAUGAACGCUAGCGGCAGGCCUAACACAUGCAAGUCGAGGGGUAGAGAUAGCUUGCUAUCUUGAGACCGGCGCACGGGUGCGUAACGCGUAUGCAAUCUACCUUUUACUUAGGAAUAGCCCGGAGAAAUCCGGAUUAAUGCCUGAUAGUAUUUUUUUAUGGCAUCAUAAUUAGAUUAAAGAUUUAUCGGUAAAAGAUGAGCAUGCGUCCCAUUAGUUAGUUGGUGUGGUAACGGCACACCAAGACGAUGAUGGGUAGGGGUCCUGAGAGGGAGAUCCCCCACACUGGUACUGAGACACGGACCAGACUCCUACGGGAGGCAGCAGUGAGGAAUAUUGGUCAAUGGAGGCAACUCUGAACCAGCCAUGCCGCGUGCAGGAUGACGGUCCUAUGGAUUGUAAACUGCUUUUAUACGGGAAGAAAAAAGACCACGAGUUGGUUUACUGACGGUACCGUAAGAAUAAGGAUCGGCUACUCCGUGCCAGCAGCCGCCGUAA